Molecule: transfer RNA, 76 nt
Filed under: Desulfitobacterium hafniense
Lineage: Bacteria; Bacillati; Bacillota; Clostridia; Eubacteriales; Desulfitobacteriaceae
Also listed under: 18 other names
Description: Phe
Rfam family: tRNA
About the family: Transfer RNA (tRNA) molecules are approximately 80 nucleotides in length. Their secondary structure includes four short double-helical elements and three loops (D, anti-codon, and T loops).
Source: RNAcentral
GCCUCGGUAGCUCAGUCGGUAGAGCAGAGGACUGAAAAUCCUCGUGUCGGCGGUUCGAUUCCGCCCUGAGGCACCA